Molecule: long non-coding RNA, 538 nt
Organism: Schistocerca nitens (vagrant locust)
Lineage: Eukaryota; Metazoa; Arthropoda; Insecta; Orthoptera; Acrididae
Exons: 3
Source: RefSeq, a predicted model, not a curated record
CCUGCUCCGUACACUGCAGUGCGUCAGGACACAACUCGCGCUAUCGAAACGUUCCUUCCUUCCGUGCUCCGGUGGCGGACUCGCAGUCACGGCUGUGGGCGGGUAGCACUCAUUUCCCGCUAGACCUCACGCCUGCCUGGGUGAGCCAAAACGCGUGCCUUUCGGCUUCCUCUUGAAUCCCGGGGUUGGCUCCCCUGCCAAUCCACAACAGCUUCGGUCCGAAGAAGAUUUACAUGAAUUUAGAAGGAAGAUAAGACGCCCCGAAUUGUGGAAGAGGAAAGUGAUUAAACAAAAGAAGGUCAAGGGUUUGGAUCAUGCCAAUUGGAAAGGAAACAUUGUUCCUAGGAGGCAAACAGGUGCUUAUUGUAGAUACCGGCGUAAAUGUUUUGAGAAGUUCUCACUUGCUGAGAAGGAACUAUUGUUGACAGAAUUCAACAAUACGCCCAACAAAGAUGGACAGGAUGGGUACUUGAGUGCUCGCUCACAUUCUUCCCUUCUUUCCGAAAGCAAAGAGACCACGCCCAAAUUCCAUUACCAA